CAUACUAUAUCUUAUUUUUGUAAAAUAGAACAAGAAGCUUUCCGAGAUGAAUAUUCACCUAGAAUAAUCAUUAUGUUCAUCACUAUGGUCAACAGAGCUAUGAGUUAGCAGGAAAGUGACUGUCAUCUGAGUGCACAGAGUGGCUGUUCAGUCCAGAACAGGAUUCCUCAAAGAGGAGUUUAAAAUAUGAUUUAGUAUAGUUUUCUUCAUGUUCUUUUAGUACAAAGAUGCUCUAGGAAAUAACAUAGAAAAUGAAUCACAAACUGAUUUAUGUCAGAUUUAUUAAAGUAAUCUGUAAUGGAGACCUGGAUGAGGAUCAGAUAUGCACAGAAUAAACAGCUGUGUGCUUUGGUGCUCUGUGAGCAUA
Peromyscus eremicus (cactus mouse) is the source of this 367-nucleotide long non-coding RNA. RefSeq lists it as uncharacterized. NCBI's taxonomy places the organism in Eukaryota, Metazoa, Chordata, Mammalia, Rodentia, Cricetidae. The record is from RefSeq and is a predicted model, not a curated record. The transcript has 2 exons.